This 467-nucleotide ribosomal RNA is filed under the name uncultured bacterium. RNAcentral describes it as "partial 16S ribosomal RNA". It matches the Rfam family "Bacterial small subunit ribosomal RNA", at positions 29 to 507 of the family's 1533-position model. The record is from RNAcentral.
ACGAACGCUGGCGGCGUGCUUAACACAUGCCAGUCGAACGGAGAGGCCCUGCUUUUGUGGGGUGCUCGAGUGGCGAACGGGUGAGUAACACGUGAGUAACCUGCCCUUGACUUUGGGAUAACUUCAGGAAACUGGGGCUAAUACCGGAUAGGAGCUCCUGCUGCAUGGUGGGGGUUGGAAAGUUUCGGCGGUUGGGGAUGGACUCGCGGCUUAUCAGCUUGUUGGUGGGGUAGUGGCUUACCAAGGCUUUGACGGGUAGCCGGCCUGAGAGGGUGACCGGCCACAUUGGGACUGAGAUACGGCCCAGACUCCUACGGGAGGCAGCAGUGGGGAAUAUUGCACAAUGGGCGGAAGCCUGAUGCAGCAACGCCGCGUGCGGGAUGACGGCCUUCGGGUUGUAAACCGCUUUCGCCUGUGACGAAGCGUGAGUGACGGUAAUGGGUAAAGAAGCACCGGCUAACUACGUG